AAACUAAACCCUAAAUCUUUUCUCCUCUGCACUCUGUGAGGUGAUUCAAACUUGGAAGCUUCGUGGUGGGGGUUUUUGCAUCUCUGCUUCGGUUUAGAAAUCAGAUUCUUUGAAUAACUAUAGGAGCUACGUGAUAAAUGGAGGAUCAUAAGCCGACGAGUUUCACGUUUGAGAUAGAUAACUUCUUAGAGAAGGAAGCUGUGAUUUCAUCCCCAACAUUCUCAAGUGGAGGCUGCCAAUGGUAUGCAAAGGUUUAUCCCAAGGGAAAUGGUAUUGAAGAUCACUUGGGUCUAUACCUUCAUGUUGCAAAUUCUGGAUCAUUGCAACUUGGAUGGAAAAGGCGAGCUAAAUAUUCCUUUGUUCUGUUGAACCAAUCCGGCAAAGAAAUCCACAAAACA
Raphanus sativus (radish) is the source of this 398-nucleotide long non-coding RNA. RefSeq lists it as uncharacterized. The transcript is spliced from 3 exons. Lineage: Eukaryota; Viridiplantae; Streptophyta; Magnoliopsida; Brassicales; Brassicaceae. The record is from RefSeq and is a predicted model, not a curated record.